Molecule: ribosomal RNA, 554 nt
Filed under: uncultured bacterium
Lineage: Bacteria
Description: partial 16S ribosomal RNA
Rfam family: Bacterial small subunit ribosomal RNA
Source: RNAcentral
UAGGGAAUCUUCCACAAUGGACGCAAGUCUGAUGGAGCAACGCCGCGUGAGUGAAGAAGGUUUUCGGACCGUAAAGCUCUGUUGUUGGUGAAGAAGGGUAGAGGUAGUAACUGGCCUUUAUUUGACGGUAAUCAACCAGAAAGUCACGGCUAACUACGUGCCAGCAGCCGCGGUAAUACGUAGGUGGCAAGCGUUGUCCGGAUUUAUUGGGCGUAAAGCGAGCGCAGGCGGAAGAAUAAGUCUGAUGUGAAAGCCCUCGGCUUAACCGAGGAAUUGCAUCGGAAACUGUUUUCUUGAGUGCAGAAGAGGAGAGUAGAACUCCAUGUGUAGCGGUGGAAUGCGUAGAUAUAUGGAAGAAUACCAGUGGCGAAGGCGGCUCUCUGGUCUGCAACUGACGCUGAGGCUCGAAAGCAUGGGUAGCGAACAGGAUUAGAUACCCUGGUAGUCCAUGCCGUAAACGAUGAGUGCUAAGUGUUGGGAGGCUUCCGCCUCUCAGUGCUGCAGCUAACGCAUUAAGCACUCCGCCUGGGGGAGUACGACCGCAAGGUUGAAAC